GCAAAAACCGAUAGGUUCCACCGAGAUUUGAACUCGGGUCGCAGGAUUCAAAGUCCUGAGUGCUAACCGCUACACCAUGGAACCGACGGC
This 90-nucleotide transfer RNA is filed under the name Caenorhabditis elegans. Its description in RNAcentral is "Unclassified non-coding RNA Y49E10.32". The record is from RNAcentral. Lineage: Eukaryota; Metazoa; Nematoda; Chromadorea; Rhabditida; Rhabditidae.